UACGUAGGGGGCAAGCGUUAUCCGGAUUUACUGGGUGUAAAGGGAGCGCAGACGGCAGUGCAAGUCUGGAGUGAAAGCCCGGGGCCCAACCCCGGGACUGCUCUGGAAACUGUACGGCUAGAGUACGGGAGGGGCAGGCGGAAUUCCUAGUGUAGCGGUGAAAUGCGUAGAUAUUAGGAGGAACACCGGCGGCGAAGGCGACCUGCUGGACCGAAACUGACGUUGAGGCUCGAAAGCGUGGGGAGCAAACAGG
This 253-nucleotide ribosomal RNA is filed under the name uncultured bacterium. Its description in RNAcentral is "partial 16S ribosomal RNA". It matches the Rfam family "Bacterial small subunit ribosomal RNA", at positions 524 to 776 of the family's 1533-position model. The record is from RNAcentral.